AUUGAACGCUGGCGGCAGGCCUAACACAUGCAAGUCGAACGGCAGCACAGAAGAGUUUGCUCUUUGGGUGGCGAGUGGCGGACGGGUGAGUAAUGUCUGGGAAACUGCCCGAUGGAGGGGGAUAACUACUGGAAACGGUAGCUAAUACCGCAUAACGUCGCAAGACCAAAGUGGGGGACCUUCGGGCCUCACACCAUCGGAUGUGCCCAGAUGGGAUUAGCUAGUAGGUGGGGUAAUGGCUCACCUAGGCGACGAUCCCUAGCUGGUCUGAGAGGAUGACCGGCCACACUGGAACUGAGACACGGUCCAGACUCCUACGGGAGGCAGCAGUGGGGAAUAUUGCACAAUGGGGGCACGCCUGAUGCAGCCAUGCCGCGUGUAUGAAGAAGGCCUUCGGGUUGUAAAGUACUUUCGGCGGGGAGGAAGGCGAUGUGGUUAAUAACCGCGUCGAUUGACGUUACCCGCAGAAGAAGCACCGGCUAACUCCGUGCCAGCAGCCGCCGUAA
RNAcentral lists this ribosomal RNA (506 nucleotides) under uncultured bacterium. Its description in RNAcentral is "partial 16S ribosomal RNA". It matches the Rfam family "Bacterial small subunit ribosomal RNA", at positions 30 to 523 of the family's 1533-position model. The record is from RNAcentral.